This is a non-coding RNA of Cricetulus griseus (Chinese hamster), 2786 nucleotides long. The record is from RefSeq and is a predicted model, not a curated record. NCBI's taxonomy places the organism in Eukaryota, Metazoa, Chordata, Mammalia, Rodentia, Cricetidae.
GUUCUGGGGAGGGGCCAAAACAAGUAAUGAGCUGGACUAGGGGAAGCAGGCUGGGGAAUAAGACCGGCCUGGGACAACCCUGCGGACUGGGCACUGCACUGACUCACUCACCAGUGGUCCUCACCCUUCCUAACUCUGCAACCCCUUAAUACGGUUCCUCGUGUUGUGGUGACCCCCCACUAUAAAAUUAUUUUCAUUGCUGCUUCAUAACUGUAAUCUUGCUACUGUUAUGAAUUGUAAUGCAAAUAUCUGAUAUACAAGACAUCUGACACGAGACUUGGAUCGUCCCCAAAUGGGUCUCCACCCACAGGCUGAGAACCACUGGUUUAGACUGAGCUGUGAAGUGCAGUCCCCUCCCCGGAGGGGUGCAAAAGAACUGGGGAGCAGAACUGAAUGAGAGGACAUUAAAUCCUCGGGAGCCAAUCAUAAACCCUGGCAGCUCAGCUCCGAGACACAGGUCCCAUCUGGCAGCUUUGGGACAGCCAGCCAUGACUGGGACAUUGUGAAAGGACAUUGUGACAUAGCCAUGCCUGGCUAAGCUCUCCAGUGAGCUUCAUCACUGCCUCUGAGGAUGACAAUGUCCCAUUUCACUGUUGAGAAAACUGAGGACCAGCCUAUCAAGAGGUGGAGACUGCUUCCCAAGGCUGAGUGGGUCCCUUCUCCCUCCUGCCCACCCCACCAUUGCUGAAGAUAGGCCCGGCACAGAGGUCUGUGCCAUCGCUUUCCUUCCCGGAAACCUCUGAUGGCUGGGUUGGACUUCUUGGCAUUCCAGCAUCCAGCUGGACCUGCUCAGAGUGGUUAAGAAGCUGUUCCGAUGGACCUCUGCCAGACUGCCUCAAUGUGACCUCUACCCUCAUGGUUAGCCUGGAUGGACCUCUGCCAGACUGCCUCAACGUGACCUCUGUCCUCAUGGUUUUCCCCUUCAUUCAAGACUGAGCUCUAGACACCCCACCCACAUACAUACCACCCAUCCAACCCAAGUCAGGGUGCCCAAGAAUAAUGGUCUGACCACAGCAAUUUGAAGAAGCCAGGAUUUUGGCAGCCUUCUCCCUCGUGUAUUCGUCUCCCUUAGGCCUGUGGCAAAGCUGGGACCUAAAGCACCCUUGUUACACAGCACGUUUCAGCGAUGGAAGCCCUAUCAGACUGCAGGCUGCGCUGGAAUGAUCAUCUACAUGAAAAGCAGGCUGAACCCACACCCUGAGGGGCACCCUGCCUGGAAAGCCGCUUUUGUCCAGAGUAUUUGCAGCCACCUCAAUGGCUGGCAUUGCCCUCUGGGGCUCCUGGCUCUGGUGGGAAGCGCACGUGAGAGACUAGCUUUGGGAACCUCUAUGAUCCUUUAGGAAAACCUGGGAUGGGAGCACACAGCCUAGCACAAAAGAAUGACAAAAUUCCCAGUCUUCCUGGCCAGCAAAGGAAUGGGGCAGAAAGGGACCCUGUGUUCUUGAAGCUGUUUCUAAGGUCUCCUGGUGGGUAGUGGUUCCUGCGCCUGCCUUAAGCGCUGUAUCUCAGGCCUCACCUGCCAUACACAUUGGCGGCCCAGUCUAACAGCACAUAGAGCUGCUCACAGCCCCUGGCGUCUCGCGCCAGCUCCUGCAGACGCUGGGCCACCGCGCUGUGGAAGGCACGCAAGUAGGUCUCCCACACUGGAAAGUCGGUGGCUUCGUAAGCGGGUUGCAUCUCUAAUCGCACCUUCUGCAGGUCGUGGCGGACCACACCACCAAGUUCAGCCAGAAGCUGGGCUAGGUCGGACGCACCCUCCGCAGCAGCCCCGGGGGUCACUUUGUCUCCUGCCUGCUGCACGCGCUCCUGAGCGCUGCGCUGCACGGCGUCCUCCCAGUGCUGACGCCAGUGGCGGGGCGGGCUCAAGAAGUCACCCUCAGCUUGGGGGGCCUGAUGGGCCUCCUCUUCCAAGUGCACCACUUGGGCCAGUUCGGCUAGAGCGUCUCGAUCCACGCCUUCAGAACCCAGCGCCUCGCGCACAAUGGCUCCGAUCUCCGCGGCCAUUCCAUCGUAAUGUAGGCAAAGGUCCAUAGCGCGCCGCGCAUAGUCGGUGGGGUCCUGCGCAAAGGUGCGUGAGGUUCUGUCUGCCACCAGCUGCGUCUCCAGGUACCGCAACUGUUCGAAGGCCUUCACUAGUUGCCGCUCAGUGAUGAGGUCUGUCACGGAUUUGCUUUCUGCAAGCGCGGGUGAGAAAGGGGUCAAUGAGAGGGACCAACCUAGGGGUACUGGGUACCAACUUAGACAACUAGGUUGCGCUCAGGGACUUGGGCUGGGCUGCCUGGCCACUGCCCAGAUGUUCUGCGCGCCAUUGAACUGCUCCAGCUGCCAGAAAUCUUUGCUUAGAAUCACAUUUGAAAGAACAGUAUCAAGGCCCCAAAUCUGACUGAAAAUAACUUGGGUCAGCUCCUGGCUGCAUGCACACACCGGCUAUACAGACCAGCCCCAGCGCCUUCUAUCUUGCACCCCCCCACACCCCAUCCGCACUCCCAUCUCUGCUGAGCUGGUCCUGGUGACCUCGUGUGGGCUGUAAUCGCAGGUCUAAUAGGUUCAGAGCUCAGCUGGGUGUGUCCUGUCCUAACGUACAGAGUCAGCCUUUCUGUCGUGCUCUCUGCCCUCCCCGUGUUGAGCUCUCUACUCUGCAGGAUCCCUUCUUGACAGUCCAAGUCCAACGUUUGCUCCCUGAGCUGUCCUCCUAGCUGCCCCUCCAGGUAAUAGUGGCCCAGAUGAACCUCUGUGACCCUGUGGUCUGAAAGGAUCAGCGCCUAAUACUUAGGUUUCAAAUCCCA